RNAcentral lists this ribosomal RNA (497 nucleotides) under bacterium enrichment culture clone LiUU-12-59. RNAcentral's name for it is "bacterial SSU rRNA". It matches the Rfam family "Bacterial small subunit ribosomal RNA", at positions 340 to 829 of the family's 1533-position model. The record is from RNAcentral.
UACGGGAGGCAGCAGUGGGGAAUUUUGGACAAUGGGCGCAAGCCUGAUCCAGCAAUGCCGCGUGCAGGAAGAAGGCCUUCGGGUUGUAAACUGCUUUUGUACGGAACGAAAAGGUCUGGGUUAAUACCCUGGGCUCAUGACGGUACCGUAAGAAUAAGCACCGGCUAACUACGUGCCAGCAGCCGCGGUAAUACGUAGGGUGCAAGCGUUAAUCGGAAUUACUGGGCGUAAAGCGUGCGCAGGCGGUUUUGUAAGACAGGCGUGAAAUCCCCGGGCUCAACCUGGGAAUGGCGCUUGUGACUGCAAAGCUGGAGUGCGGCAGAGGGGGAUGGAAUUCCGCGUGUAGCAGUGAAAUGCGUAGAUAUGCGGAGGAACACCAAUGGCGAAGGCAAUCCCCUGGGCCUGCACUGACGCUCAUGCACGAAAGCGUGGGGAGCAAACAGGAUUAGAUACCCUGGUAGUCCACGCCCUAAACGAUGUCAACUGGUUGUUGGUCC